CCUAGAUACUGAAGCCAUGUUCGCUCUAUAUGCCACAGCUCUCCUCUGCUUCCUGUCUUUGGGCCAAUCAGCUCCUGCUGCAGCUCUAACCUGUGAGGACCUCCUUAAGCCCAUGGAUCCACCACGACAAGACCAGCAGCUCUUGGGAAGAUGGGAUUUUGUCGCAGACGUGUGAGCCACCCCUGGUAUUACUCAACCAUGUUCGCUCUCCAGAGAAAACAGUCACCAUGGAGUUUACAUCUGCUACCAAAACCAGAACACCAACACCACCACAACCAUCCACUACACUCAGGCUGACCGGCAUGGCGGCUGGUGCAAGUACUGUAUAUACCCGACAGCAUCUCCAUCGUCAACGGCAACAGCACCUUCCAGUUAGACAUGAGGGUCUUUUGGAACAUCACUGGGGUCUCCCUGGAGACCUGCCCAGACUGCCUGGUGAUGAGGUGAGCUCCGUAAUAAGGGAGUCCACGGACCUGCAUCUGCUGAGGAAGGUGGAGGGCGGGACGGGAGAGAGGUGGAGGAAGAGGAGAUGGAGGAGUUCAGGAACCUGUACCUGCUGAGGAAGGUGGAGGGCGGGACGGGAGAGAGGUGGAGGAAGAGGAGAUGGAGGAGUUCAGGAACCUGUACCUGCUGAGGAAGGUGGAGGGCGGGACGGGAGAGAGGUGGAGAAAGAGGAGAUGGAGUUCAGGAAACGUGGAGUGCCUGGGGCUUCCCGCCGCCAGUGCUGAUGUAGCUUGGGAAAUCCCUCUGAUUCCUGUCGUCCCUGAUUCCCUACCCUCUUAAGACCGGUAGAAGAAGAAAAAGAUCCAUCAAUGUGAUAAAAGUAUAGAUUCUGAGAGAGUGGGGGCAGUGAAAGAGAGAUGUAGAGACACUUUUGCUGGUUUGUAAUAUAGCAGUUCUGUAUGUACUGUUUGUCAAUGUACUGUAUGAUUGUACUGAAUUAUUUAUCGUAUCAUUCUGUCUUCUUGGCUUCUUUAACAGAUUUAAUGACAUUCAUUGAGUUAAUUAAAGUACAAAAGCUUCAGUUAAUUCACAGAGACAGUGGAAUCCAGCAGGAAUGUUCACAGCAAAUUCUCCAGCAUUGAAUCAACUCUGAGUGUUCAUUUUAACACUUUUCCAGAGUCUAUAGGGUCCACACUAUUCAGAGCUAAAUUAAGACUUUGUUAAGAGCUGAUGCCAUUACACUUUCUCAGUGUUAAGGAAUUAGCGCCUGCAGUUUUACAGUAACUCGUUUUGGGUGUUGACUAUUUGAAUCAGGUGUGCCAGUUUAGGGUUAAAACAAAAAUGUGAAACGUCUGAGGGGCGAGGAGAGGGUUGGGAAACCACAUAGUAGAGAACGCUGUCGGCCAUCACUUUUAGCCUACGCAUCAGAUUCAUCUGCUGUGGUGUUAGAAACCUAAAUAAUACCCCCCAAAAUAUUUUCAAUAGAAUGUUGUCACGUUUUAAGAAUGUUUAGGUUUUAAAAAAUAUUUGUAUAUUUUGAAGUACAGUACCAGUCAACAGUUUGGACACACCUACUCAUUCAAGGGUUUUUCUUUAUUUUUACUGGUUUCUACAUUGUAGAAUAAUAGUGAAGACAUCAAAACUAUGAAAUAACACAUAUGGAAUCAUGUAGUAGCCAAAAAUUGUUAAACAAAUCAAAAUAGAUUUUAGAUUCUUUAAAAAUAGCCACCCUUAGCCUUGAUGACAGUUUUGCACACUCUUGGAAUUCUCUAAACCAGCUUCAUGAAGUAGUCACCUGAAAUGCAUUUCAAUUAACAGGUGUGUCUUGUUCAUUUGUGAAAUGUAUUUUCUUCUUAAUAUGUUUGAGCCAAUCAGUUGUGUUGUGACAAGGUACAGUAGGGGUGAUAUACAGAAGAUAGCCCUAUUUGGUAAAAUACCAAGUCCAUAUUAUGGCAAGAACAGCUCAAAUAAGCAAAGAGAAACGACAGUCCAUCAUUACUUUAAGACAUGAAGGUCAGUCAAUCCGGAAAAUCAACCAACCCUAAACUAUAGGGUUUUACAAGCCAAACUUUUCUUGUCAACAAAGGCAUAAUUAUAAUUUUUUUCACCUUUAUUUAACUAGGUAGGUUAGUUGAGAACAAGUUCUCAUUUACAACUGCGACCUGGCCAAGAUAAAGCAAAACAGAGUUACACAUGGGAUAAACAAACGUACAGUCAAUAACACAAUUGAUACACUGUAUAUCUGCAGAAAAACUAGGAGAAUCCCAGAAGAAUUAGGAGAACACUAGACGUAAAUGUAAAUGAGACUUCUGUAUUGUUUCAUGUUUGACAUUAUGGAAUAAUGUCUCAGAUAAAAGCACGCGACUUUUCACCAGAUAAGCACAGAACAUAGAUUAACAAAAAGUGUAGUUUUUAUUUCGCAACCUUGGAAUUGCCUUGGAAAAGUGCCAGUUUACUGGUACUCUGCAACUGUGGAACUUUCUGACAUUGAAGAACAUUGUACCAUAGCAGAGCUAUAAGACUGGACCCCUCUAUCCCAGCACCAGUGUUCCAUACACACAGACACAUCAAUGACACAUAGACAUACAGUAGAUAGAUGCUGUAGAUACAUAGAAAUAUAUAAGAUAGAUAUAGUGAUACAUAUUGUAGAUACUAUAGCUAUAGAUAGACCCACAAUAGAUAGAUAUACUGGUGCAUAGAUAUAGUGAGACCUAGACAUUGAUGCCAUGUUCGCACUAUGUGCCACGACUCUCCUGUACUUCCUGUCUUUUAGCCAAUCGGCUCCUGCUGCAGGUCUAGCCUGUGAGGACCUCCUUAAGCCCAUGGAUCCACCACGACUAGACCAGCAGCUCUUGAGGAAAUGGGCCCUCGUCGCAGGCAGCCUGAGCCACCCUGCAUCCCUGGAGGCUCUCAAGGUAGCACCCUAUCCACUAUGUGGCACCCUAUUCCCUAGAGCCCUAUGCGGACCCUGGUCACGAGUUAAAACAAAGGAUAGGCCUGGAGAAAUGUAACCACUCUCAAAUUCAUAGACAGAGCUAUGGAUGCAAGGACUGACCAUCCAAGAUAUACAAUUGUAGUUGUACGCAUGUUUUGAGGCAUUUACAAUGUUUGCAAAACAUUGGAUUAAAACAAGCUUAUAUUUGGGGUUCUGUAUGGGGUUUGACAGUUGAUCCAAGCUCAUGAGGCAUUUAUAAGUUAUAUUCUUCAAGAAUCAAUGGGUGCAUAUCAUAAAUGUUUAAGUCUAAAAAUGGAUGUAACAACUGCAGAUUGCCCCCUUUAAAUUGCUUUUUAGCACACUUGUCAACUAGGCUACAUUUCACCUGCCUUUUGUACCGGUAAUUGUUCUGUGACAAUUUUGUAUGUUGUAAUGAUU
Long non-coding RNA from Salmo trutta (river trout), 3316 nucleotides. NCBI's taxonomy places the organism in Eukaryota, Metazoa, Chordata, Actinopteri, Salmoniformes, Salmonidae. The record is from Ensembl.